GACGAACCGUGCGAACGUUGUUCGGAAUCACUGGGCUUAAAGGGCGCGUAGGCGGACUGCCAAGUCCGGGGUGAAAUCCUCCAGCUCAACUGGAGAACGGCCCCGGAUACUGGCGGUCUCGAGGAGGGUAGGGGCAAGCGGAACUAUGGGUGGAGCGGUGAAAUGCGUUGAUAUCCAUAGGAACUCCGGUGGCGAAGGCGGCUUGCUGGACCCUUUCUGACGCUGAGGCGCGAAAGCCAGGGGAGCAAACGGG
RNAcentral lists this ribosomal RNA (253 nucleotides) under uncultured bacterium. Its description in RNAcentral is "partial 16S ribosomal RNA". It matches the Rfam family "Bacterial small subunit ribosomal RNA", at positions 524 to 776 of the family's 1533-position model. The record is from RNAcentral.